Oxyura jamaicensis (ruddy duck) is the source of this 1354-nucleotide RNA transcript. It is a transcript of the gene named acylphosphatase 2, with no coding region annotated. The transcript has 5 exons. The record is from RefSeq and is a predicted model, not a curated record. Lineage: Eukaryota; Metazoa; Chordata; Aves; Anseriformes; Anatidae.
GGCUCCUUCCCGCCCGGCGCGGGGCGGGCGCUUUCCGGGGCAGCUUGAGCCUCGCGCGCUGCCGUCCGGGCGGCCCGCACAGCUCGGCGGCCGCCAUGUCUACCCUGGGGAAGGCCUCGGGCGCGCUCAAAUCGGUGGAUUACGAAGUGUUCGGGCGGGUGCAAGGUGUUUGUUUCAGGAUGUACACAGAAGAGGAAGCUAGGAAGCUAGGAGUGGUUGGCUGGGUUAAAAAUACCAGUCAAGGAACAGUAACAGGCCAAGUUCAAGGCCCAGAAGAUAAAGUAAAUGCAAUCUGUGGACUUGACCCACUGGAUAUUUUAAGAACUGGCUGUUUUGAUUCAUGGAGCAGCUAGCAAGCAGGCAGAAGCAACACAGUCUUCCCCACGCCUCCAGGCUCAGUUCUAUUCUGAGGCACCUCACCUACGCCUAAGCAGGAAAUCCUGGCUGACUAAAGUUGGAAGCCCAAGUUCUCGUAUAGACAGAACAAAUUUUUCUAAUGAAAAGGAGAUUUCCAAGCUUGACUUCUCAGGAUUUAGCACUAGAUACUAAUAGAAGAAAACAUCACUAAGCACAAAACUGAUGUUUCUGCUGCAUUAAAUUUUCCGUGCAUCCAUAAAAUGUCAUGAGCACUUGGAUGCUUUCUGUACUUGAAAUAGAUGAUUGCCAUUCACACGAAGUAAGAAUUCUUAGUUGCUGUAUUAGGUAUUUCACAACAUGAUUGUCAAUGCUUAAUAUCUAAAGUGUCAAUAUCUAACUUACUGCAUAUUGACAUCUAUGUAAGUCGCUAAAAGUAUAAUUGAUUAUUUCUGUACAGUGAUAUUUGUUAUUACAACCAUAUGAAACCUAAUCUUUACACUGUACAGGAUAAAUAAAUAAUCACUGUGUUCUACAGUUCAUAACCUCUCUGGAAAUGCAUAGCUUACAGAACUGGAACUCUUAGAGAGGUAUUUCAACAUUUCUGUAUUAUAGAUCAUGUUACUUGUGAUAAUUUAAAAUAAAUAUGCAUAGCUUCAAACAAAAAUUGUUAACUGCCUGUUGUUUAAAAUACUCUAAGGUGAUGCGGGUACUUUUUGGAACAAGAUGAUGAAAUGCAUUGCCUCUCAACCUCUUUUCCGUGUGUGCCUAAAGUCUAAAUCUCUACUGAUGAAAAAGGAUAUUCCCUUCUUUUUGCUGUAUGAUUUUAUCAAAAUUAACUGAAGAUUUCAGUUACUGUCCUUACUUGAUGAGUAUUUGCUCAUUGAGUGAGUUGAAUUGGGUACAAUAGUGUGCAACGCCAGAAAUCAUACCAAGUACGCAAAUGGUUUUGAUCAAAUUGAAUAAAUACUUGUAAUAAAUACUGGAUAAGUCUAUGCAA